This 774-nucleotide long non-coding RNA is filed under the name Fukomys damarensis (Damara mole-rat). Its description in RNAcentral is "lncRNA (ENSFDAG00000030872.1)". Lineage: Eukaryota; Metazoa; Chordata; Mammalia; Rodentia; Bathyergidae. The record is from RNAcentral.
AGGGGAUUGAAAAAAGAGUUGAAGGGAAAACAUGGAAAUAGAGCUUUUGCAAAUGGGAAGAGGAGUUGAAAGACACAGGAAGGGAUAGGAAGGGCAGGACACAAAAACGAAUUAAGAUGUUAUAUACAUGUAUGAAUUCCUUCCCAGGGCUAAAGAGUUUAUUCAAAAAGUUCUUUCACUCAGGCAGGUAAAUGACCCACUAUAAUACAAUAUGAUAAGUAUUGCAACAGAGCUAAGAACAAAGAGCUACGGGAUAAAGGGUUAGGGAAGGGGAGCAGUGGCUUCCCACAGGAGACCGUGUUUCCCUUUGCCAUCAAAAGUAGUAGAGUUUUCACCAGGAGAAGGCAUUCCAGGCAGAGGAAAACCAAAAAGCAAUGGUAUGGAGAAUAAUUGAGCAAGGUGAAAUUAGACAGCUGCCUGGAGUACCAUCUAAACCUUACUUUUUUCCGGGUCAUUAAAGAGAAUCAAUUCCACUGCUCAGAAAACAGCCUGGCUGGGCUGACCAGGAAAUUCCACAGAAGGCAGCGAACAGAACCCUGGCCAGCUUGUUGCUGUCAUUCUGAGGGGAGAGGAGGCAGGUGUGCACCUGACUCCUGGUCCCUUGGGGGAAGCGGCAGGAUUGCUAAGAUUCAGAGCCAUCCAGGAGCUGAGGUCCAGAAACAUGGGGACUCCAGGCAAACAACUGGCCCAUUCGGUAACUGAAAAUAUUUCUUUCUCCAUAUUUAGAACAUUCUAUGAGUGGUUUAAAAGAUUUUUCUAUUUUCACAAAACAUG